UUUUGGAGCAGUGAAACCAUACAUCACUUUUAUGCAUAAGGAAGACGAAUUUGACAGCAGUAUGAAAAAUGAAUUGUCAUGGAAAGAGGAUGAGGUCACUUGGUGAUAAGUGAAAAAGAUCAAAGGAUUAUUGGUUUAAUACUGGUAAUUGUCUGAUUUGUCAAGAAACCAAUAGUAUAAAAUGGCAACUGUUGCAUCUGGGGAUUGGCUAUAGGUAUCCACCUCUGUUAUCUGUACCUGGAAAAUUAAAUGAUCUAUUGAACAUCAUCCUGACUCUAUUUCCAUUCUGAAAAGGAAAAUUGCCCACCUGAUUAAUCCUGAGCACUGCCUUUAACACUCUGUGACUACAAGAUUGGAGAAGUCUUGCAAGUACAACACUAAAUCUAUUAAAUAAUAGAUUGAUACUGGAACAUUUCUGAGUUACUAGGAUGUACCUUGUGAAAACGACAUUGUGAAACUCUAGAUGAAGUAGCAAAUAUCCUCCUUCCUGGUGCUCUAUUUCCUCCCUUCCCUCUUUAAUUGAUCAUCCUAUAAUCACCCUGACUUGGUUCUGUACAGGUAUUCCAGUAUUUUGUACUGUGUAUUGUCCUGAAUUAUAAUUCUUUUGUCUUAAAUAAAACUCUUUUG
This is a long non-coding RNA of Sarcophilus harrisii (Tasmanian devil), 627 nucleotides long. RefSeq lists it as uncharacterized. Lineage: Eukaryota; Metazoa; Chordata; Mammalia; Dasyuromorphia; Dasyuridae. The transcript is spliced from 4 exons. The record is from RefSeq and is a predicted model, not a curated record.